RNAcentral lists this ribosomal RNA (478 nucleotides) under uncultured bacterium. Its description in RNAcentral is "partial 16S ribosomal RNA". It matches the Rfam family "Bacterial small subunit ribosomal RNA", at positions 28 to 523 of the family's 1533-position model. The record is from RNAcentral.
GACGAACGCUGGCGGCGUGCUUAACACAUGCAAGUCGAGCGAUGAAGUUCCUUCGGGAACGGAUUAGCGGCGGACGGGUGAGUAACACAUGGGUAACCUGCCUCAUAGAGGGGAAUAGCCUUCCGAAAGGAAGAUUAAUACCGCAUAAGAUUGUAGUUUCGCAUGAAACAGCAAUUAAAGGAGUAAUCCGCUAUGAGAUGGACCCGCGUCGCAUUAGCUAGUUGGUGAGGUAACGGCUCACCAAGGCGACGAUGCGUAGCCGACCUGAGAGGGUGAUCGGCCACAUUGGGACUGAGACACGGCCCAGACUCCUACGGGAGGCAGCAGUGGGGAAUAUUGCACAAUGGGGGAAACCCUGAUGCAGCAACGCCGCGUGAGUGAUGACGGUCUUCGGAUUGUAAAACUCUGUCUUCAGGGACGAUAAUGACGGUACCUGAGGAGGGAGCCACGGCUAACUACGUGCCAGCCGCCGCAGUAA